Molecule: ribosomal RNA, 495 nt
Filed under: uncultured bacterium
Lineage: Bacteria
Description: partial 16S ribosomal RNA
Rfam family: Bacterial small subunit ribosomal RNA
Source: RNAcentral
GACGAACGCUGGCGGCGUGCCUAAUACAUGCAAGUAGAACGCUGAAGGAGGAGCUUGCUUCUCUGGAUGAGUUGCGAACGGGUGAGUAACGCGUAGGUAACCUGCCUGUUAGCGGGGGAUAACUCUUGGAAACGAUAGCUAAUACCGCAUAAGAGUAGAUGUUGCAUGACAUUUGCUUAAAAGGUGCAAUUGCAUCACUACCAGAUGGACCUGCGUUGUAUUAGCUAGUUGGUGGUGUAACGGCUCACCAACGCGACGAUACAUAGCCGGCCUGGGAGGGGGAUCGGCCAAACUGGGACUGGGACACCGCCCAGACUCCGACGGGAGGCAGCAGUAGGGAAUCUUCGGCAAUGGACGGAAGGCUGACCGAGCAACGCCGCGUGAGUGAAGAAGGUUUUCGGAUCGUAAAGCUCUGUUGAAAGGGAAGAACGAGUGGGAGAGUGGAAAGUUCACACUGUGACGGUAGCUUACCAGAAAGGGACGGCUAACUACGUG